RNAcentral lists this unclassified non-coding RNA (238 nucleotides) under uncultured Pluteus. Its description in RNAcentral is "sequence contains ITS1". Lineage: Eukaryota; Fungi; Basidiomycota; Agaricomycetes; Agaricales; Pluteaceae. The record is from RNAcentral.
GUGAAUAAACUUGUGUGGGUUGUUGCUGGCCUCCUCGGAGGUAUGUGCACGCCUGCCAUUGUUUCAUUCCCCUUCCACCUGUGCACUUUUUGUAGACCAGCUGUCACUUUUCGGGUUGCUUGCAUCCCGGUUAUGAGGAUUUGCUCCGGCUGUCCUUGGUAGGUGGCGGUCUAUGUCUUUUAUCAACUCUGUAUGUAACCGAAUGUUUGCUCUGGGUUCUAUACCCAUAAAAUCUAUA